GCCAGACUCCUACGGGAGGCAGCAGUGGGGAAUAUUGCACAAUGGGGGAAACCCUGAUGCAGCGACGCCGCGUGAGUGAAGAAGUAUUUCGGUAUGUAAAGCUCUAUCAGCAGGGAAGAAAUAGCGACCUUUGGGUCGCCAGACGGUACCUGACUAAGAAGCCCCGGCUAACUACGUGCCAGCAGCCGCGGUAAUACGUAGGGGGCAAGCGUUAUCCGGAUUUACUGGGUGUAAAGGGAGCGUAGACGGCAGCACAAGUCUGAAGUGAAAUACCGGGGCUCAACCCCGGGGCUGCAUUGGAAACUGGCAGGCUGGAGUGCCGGAGAGGCAGGCGGAAUUCCUAGUGUAGCGGUGAAAUGCGUAGAUAUUAGGAGGAACACCAGUGGCGAAGGCGGCCUGCUGGACGGUGACUGGCGCUGAGGCUCGAAAGCGUGGGGAGCAAACAGGAUUAGAUACCCUAGUAU
This 464-nucleotide ribosomal RNA is filed under the name uncultured bacterium. Its description in RNAcentral is "partial 16S ribosomal RNA". It matches the Rfam family "Bacterial small subunit ribosomal RNA", at positions 330 to 793 of the family's 1533-position model. The record is from RNAcentral.